This 416-nucleotide ribosomal RNA is filed under the name uncultured Gammaproteobacteria bacterium. Its description in RNAcentral is "bacterial SSU rRNA". It matches the Rfam family "Bacterial small subunit ribosomal RNA", at positions 370 to 779 of the family's 1533-position model. The record is from RNAcentral. Lineage: Bacteria; Pseudomonadati; Pseudomonadota; Gammaproteobacteria.
AAUGGGCGAAAGCCUGACCCAGCGACGCCGCGUGGAGGAUAAAGGCCUUCGGGUUGUAAACUCCUAACAAGUGUUAGUAAGUGCUACGGUUAAUACCCUAGUUACUUGAAAAAGGCACAAGAUGAAGUCAUGGCUAACUCCGUGCCAGCAGCCGCGGUAAUACGGAGAUGGCAACCGUUGUUCGGAAUCACUGGGCUUAAAGAGCACGUAGGCGGAAAGAUAAGUUGGUUGUGAAAGCCUCUGGCUUACCCAGAGAACAGCAUCCAAAACUGUUUUUCUUGAGUUCAGGAGGGGAGAGUGGAACUCCUAGUGGAGCGGUGAAAUGCGUUGAUAUUAGGAGGAACGCCGGUGGCGAAAGCGACUCUCUGGCCUGUAACUGACGCUGAGGUGCGAAAGCUAGGGGAGCAAACGGGAUU